RNAcentral lists this ribosomal RNA (253 nucleotides) under uncultured bacterium. Its description in RNAcentral is "partial 16S ribosomal RNA". It matches the Rfam family "Bacterial small subunit ribosomal RNA", at positions 524 to 776 of the family's 1533-position model. The record is from RNAcentral.
UACGUAGGGCGCGAGCGUUGUCCGGAAUCAUUGGGCGUAAAGAGCUCGUAGGCGGCCUGUCGCGUCUGCUGUGAAAUCCCGGGGCUUAACCCCGGGCGUGCAGUGGAUACGGGCUGGCUGGAGGCAGGCAGGGGAGAACGGAAUUCCAGGUGUAGCGGUGAAAUGCGUAGAUAUCUGGAGGAACACCGGUGGCGAAGGCGGCAUCCUGGACCGGUAUUGACGCUGAGGCGCGAAAGCUAGGGGAGCAAACGGG